GAGUUUGAUCAUGGCUCAGAUUGAACGCCGGCGGUAUGCUUAACACAUGCAAGUCGAACGGUAACAGGCCUUCGGGCGCUGACGAGUGGCGGACGGGUGAGUAACGCGUAGGAAUCUGCCUCAUAGUGGGGGACAACGUGGGGAAACUCACGCUAAUACCGCAUACGCCCUACGGGGGAAAGCGGGGGAUCUUCGGACCUCGCGCUAUGAGAUGAGCCUGCGUUAGAUUAGCUAGUUGGUAGGGUAAAGGCCUACCAAGGCGACGAUCUAUAGCUGGUCUGAGAGGACGAUCAGCCACACUGGGACUGAGACACGGCCCAGACUCCUACGGGAGGCAGCAGUGGGGAAUAUUGGACAAUGGGCGCAAGCCUGAUCCAGCAAUACCGCGUGUGUGAAGAAGGCCUAGGGUUGUAAAGCACUUUCAAUUGGGAGGAAAACCUGCCGGUCAAUACCCGGCAGCUUGACAUUACCUUUAGAAGAAGCACCGGCUAACUCCGUG
Molecule: ribosomal RNA, 499 nt
Filed under: uncultured bacterium
Lineage: Bacteria
Description: bacterial SSU rRNA
Rfam family: Bacterial small subunit ribosomal RNA
Source: RNAcentral